RNAcentral lists this ribosomal RNA (253 nucleotides) under uncultured bacterium. RNAcentral's name for it is "partial 16S ribosomal RNA". It matches the Rfam family "Bacterial small subunit ribosomal RNA", at positions 524 to 776 of the family's 1533-position model. The record is from RNAcentral.
UACAGGGGGUGCAAACGUUGCUCGGAAUUACUGGGCGUAAAGGGCUCGUAGGCGGCCAACUAAGUCAGACGUGAAAUCCCUCGGCUUAACCGGGGAACUGCGUCUGAUACUGGAUGGCUUGAGUGUGGGAGAGGAAUGCGGAAUUCCAGGUGUAGCGGUGAAAUGCGUAGAUAUCUGGAGGAACACCGGUGGCGAAGGCGGCAUUCUGGACCAUUACUGACGCUGAGGAGCGAAAGCCAGGGGAGCAAACGGG